GAUGAACGCUGGCGGCGUGCCUAAUACAUGCAAGUCGAGCGCGAAGAUCAGGAGCUUGCUCCUGAGAUUUGAGCGGCGGACGGGUGAGUAACACGUAGGCAACCUACCCUUGAGAUUGGGAUAACUACCGGAAACGGUAGCUAAUACCGGAUACGACUUUUCCACACAAGUGGAACUGUUAAAAGGCGGAUUUAUCUGCCGCUCAUGGAUGGGCCUGCGGUGCAUUAGCUAGUUGGUGAGAUAGUAGCUCACCAAGGCGACGAUGCAUAGCCGACCUGAGAGGGUGAUCGGCCACACUGGAGCUGGGACACGGCCCAGACGCCUACGGGAGGCAGCAGUAGGGAAUCUUCCGCAAUGGACGAAAGUCUGACGGAGCAACGCCGCGUGAGGGAUGAAGGGUUUCGGCUCGUAAAACUCUGUUGUUAAGGAAGAACACUUGAGGUAGUAACUGGCCUUGAGAUGACGGUACUUAACCAGAAAGCCACGGCUAACUACGUGCCAGCCGCCGCGGUAA
Molecule: ribosomal RNA, 514 nt
Filed under: uncultured bacterium
Lineage: Bacteria
Description: partial 16S ribosomal RNA
Rfam family: Bacterial small subunit ribosomal RNA
Source: RNAcentral